GUGAGGAAUAUUGCGCAAUGGAGGCAACUCUGACGCAGCCAUGCCGCGUGCAGGAAGAAGGCGCUACGCGUUGUAAACUGCUUUUAACCGGGAAGAAACCCCAGGACGUGUCCUGGGUUGACGGUACCGGAGGAAUAAGCACCGGCUAACUUCGUGCCAGCAGCCGCGGUAAUACGAAGGGUGCAAGCGUUAUCCGGAUUCAUUGGGUUUAAAGGGUGCGUAGGCGGAGCGUUAAGUCAGUGGUGAAAUCCUGCAGCUUAACUGUAGACUUGCCAUUGAUACUGGCGCUCUUGAGUGCGCUUGAAGUGGGCGGAAUGUGCCGUGUAGCGGUGAAAUGCUUAGAUAUGGCACAGAACACCAAUUGCGAAGGAAGCUCACUAAGGCGAUACUGACGCUGAGGCACGAAAGCGUGGGGAUCGAACAGGAUUAGAAACCCGGGUAGUCC
This 445-nucleotide ribosomal RNA is filed under the name uncultured bacterium. RNAcentral's name for it is "partial 16S ribosomal RNA". It matches the Rfam family "Bacterial small subunit ribosomal RNA", at positions 354 to 796 of the family's 1533-position model. The record is from RNAcentral.